GUUGUCAGGUCACUGUAUGAGCACACCAGUAUUUACCAAACUGUUCCAAGACUCAAAACAACAGGCUGAUAUUGUGCUCAAUGUUCUCACCUGUCAGCCGUGUUGACUACUUUGCACUGAUGAGGUGCUCUUAAGAGACAUAAGUGCCUCUAAGCCUGCACUCACUAAGGACCUGGCCCUCUGGCUAUUACAUCUAUCUGAUACCAUCAUUUGACUGUGGAGUAGUUUUUCUGCAGAAUACUGAAUGGACUGCAAUGUAAGCAGACAGCUUUUGCUAAUUCUCAUUUCUUCAUUCUGGUCAAACCAAGUACUUUAUACAUACCUAAAAGAGCUGAAAUAUUAAUCAUAAAACCAAAGACACCGCUUUCUGGAGGUUUUGUUCCAGUGUCACUAAAGCAGGAAGAGAAAGAAAUUAACAGUUAACUGAGAUCUGUGAAACAUAAAUGAGAUGUACACAUGAAAUCCCAAGAAAAAUGUAACUUGUGUGAACUCUGUUCUGGGGAUAAGGCAUUUAAACAUUUCUGCUGAACAUGUAGCCUCCAUUUGUAGUAGUGAAUCUUUCUUUUCAUAAAGUGUAUUUUGAGAGCAUACUGUUUGAACUGUAUUUCUUCCUUUUCUGUAUUCAACGUGCAGAGCUGUGACAGAGCAAUACUUUGUUCAUGAAUGACAUGAUUACAUAAAUGACAUUUUAGAAAUGGCGUUUCUUUUAUCCACUGAAUUAACACUGUGAUAGAGUAAAACAUAUCUAAUGGCAUCUCACAUCUUAAGAUGUGAGAGAAUUUGGCUUAAUUGCCUGAUUGUCUCAAAAGGAUCUUACCCCAUGAGAGUAAUUGUGUUCCAAUGCCCAGGAAUGUUCCUAGGAGGGGUUUAAUUUGCUAAUGUAGAUGCAGCUUAAGAGUAGUCUACACCCAAGGUGUUGUAAGUCUCUUCUGCUGAAGCAAUUCACCCUUAUAGUGGAUAAUUAGAAAUUCACUGGGAUAGAAAGAGGGAGCAUGAGUGUGAGAAUAUCUACAGAAUUUAUAUACUUUUGUACGUGCACAGACAUAUAUAUGAAAAACACCACAUAUACAAAAUAUUUGUUGUGUAGAAAAUGGAACACAUUGAUCACAGAAUCCUUUUCUCUCUUUUCCCUACAUAUGUAAAAACACCCACCCCAAAGAAUGUCCUUUCUUCACAAGAUGAACAUAUGCUUGGGAGUAUGUGGGCUCAAGUUCCCUCAAGCAGGACUCUUCUAUAGAGGGUGAGUGCUCUGUUGAAGGAACAAUACUGUGAUGCUGUCACCUCUUUACACUAUGUUUCUUGUCCAAUGUCUAUUUUUUCUUGUCCAACAUACAAUCAGUUGAUAUCUAUUUGAUCAGGCUCUGUCAGUCAAGCCAAUGGAAAACAUCUAGUUCUUAAAUCUUUACAUAAUUUGGGUGUGAGCUGAGUUUUCAGUUACUGGGCAGCACCAGGAGGCACAAUUGUGUGUGUGUAAACAGAGGCACCCAAUGAACUCUACCAUCAGAAAUGUAAACAUGUAAGGGAUUCAGUUAAUGUCAAAGUUUAUUGGAAACUGAGCGAAGAUUCUGAGACUUAACUGUUCUCUGAGGGUGGGAGUGUCAACCUGCUGGAGGGUAGGAAGGCUCUGCAAAGGGAUCUGGACAGGCUGGAUUGAUGGGCUGAGGCCAAUUGUACGAGGUUCAAUUAGACCAAGCACUGGGUCCUGCACUGUGGCCACAACAACCCCGUGCAGUGCUACAGGCUGGGGGAAGAGCAGCUGGAAAACCGCUGAGCAGAAAAGGAUCUGAGGGUGUUGGUGAACAGCAGCUGAAAAUGAGCCAGCAGUGUGCCCAGGUGGCCAAGAAAGCCAAUGGCAUCCAGGCCCAUAUCAGAAAUAUCUCUAUUUCUGAUACAGACUAGCAGGACAAGGGAAAGCGAUUCUCCCCCUGUACUCAGC
Long non-coding RNA from Chiroxiphia lanceolata (lance-tailed manakin), 1936 nucleotides. RefSeq lists it as uncharacterized. NCBI's taxonomy places the organism in Eukaryota, Metazoa, Chordata, Aves, Passeriformes, Pipridae. The record is from RefSeq and is a predicted model, not a curated record. The transcript is spliced from 3 exons.